Molecule: long non-coding RNA, 2462 nt
Organism: Camelina sativa (false flax)
Lineage: Eukaryota; Viridiplantae; Streptophyta; Magnoliopsida; Brassicales; Brassicaceae
Source: RefSeq, a predicted model, not a curated record
UAUGCCCACUUGAACUCCCACGUGACAACCCACACGUGCAACUCUGCAAAAUAUCUUGGCUCCCAAAUAGCUAUAUCAAUCAACUUGUAACAGAUGACAUUAUUAGCCUCAACAAUCGACUUUAGCCCCAAAUCAACCUCCUCCUUAGGCAAACAAACAUCUGUCCAAGCCAGCUUAUUCUUCUUUGCAUUUAGUUUCGGACUAGACCAUAGAAUAGCAGCACAAAGCCUGUCUAACUCCUUAGUACACGCACUUGGUAACCAAAAAGCCGAUAUCUAAAAAUUAGUGAUACUAGCAAUGACAGAGCGUAAAAUCUGCAGCCUCCCUGCAAAAGAUAGAAACCAAUGCUGCCAGCAACUCAUUGUUUUGCGGAGUUUUUCAAACAAAGGGAGACAAUCAUGCAUCAAUCUCCCAAGCUUUUUAACUACUUGAACCAAUGAGCACCUGAGUGAUGUAGCAAACGAGGAUUAAGCGCACAUGUGGGCGAAUUGGGAUAAGGUUUUGGAAGUUGCAGGUGCGUGAAGAGCGAAUAAAAAGUUGGCAAGUUGCAGGUUUGUCAACAUAACGACAAAGGAAAAAUUAUUUAACACUAAUUGUUAACAAGUUAGUAUAAGAGCACUGUUAGCUCAAACUUUCUCUUUAAUUCAUUUUCAAAACUUGUAUUCUUUCUAGAACUUUCUAGAGUUAUCCAUUUCCUCAUCGUUAGGAGAAUCUCUUCCGAGACUCUUGCAGAUUCACGUUAUCAUUGGUAUCAGAGCUACCGGUCCUCGGAAACGAUGGUCGAAACGCGAUCACAGAUGAACAAGAUUGGCAAAGUGGGUGAUGGAACAUCAGCAGUGGUUGGUGAACCAUGAGCGACGAAGGAUCCAUGGUUGAUUCAAGUUCUCAAUCGUACAAAAGUUUUGGAGUUUGCAAUUUUGGAACAACAAAAAAAAAACUCGAUCGGAGGAUGGGCGGAGAUGUUUGAAAUGUUGGGGUUAAAUCCAGGACAAUCGCGUGGUGAGAAGAGUCCCUUGGCUGUGUCAGCAACACCAGAUUCAUUUGGAGGUUUCUCUGAUCAAUAGCGGUGUGGUGGAUCUGCUUUUCCUGGCCAUUACUCUGGAGUUGGUCUUGGUAGGUUUGACUUUCCCCAUUUUGAUGUUGAGCGAAUCACGGAGUGGUUUGGUAAGGUUGAGGAUUUCUUUUCUCUGGAUGGUACCCCUCAUGAAUCUAAAUUUAACAUGGUUGUUAUGCAUUUUGAUAGUCAUGCUACUACAUGGCAUCAUUCGUUGGUUCAAACUCCUUUUGGAAGAAAUUUGUUACGUUAUUAGGUUUCUUAUAAGCUAUUGUUGAAGGAACGUUUUGAGGAUGUAUUGGAUGAUCCUAUUGCUGAACUCAAGCAGCAGCAGGAAACAGAUGGAAUCAUUGAUUACCACCAAAAGUUUGAGUUUAUCAAAAUAUGGGUGACUUUAUCUGAACAGUAUUUGGUUAGUGCAUACCUUGCUGGACUCCAUUUGGAUACACAAAUGCAGAUCCGUAUGUUUCAAACUUUCAAUGCCAAUCUAUGCGUCAUUGUUUGGUAUUGGGACGCCUGUAUGAGAAGGCUCACCCCCAACAGAAAGGCACCUGCUAACAGGAGGUUCUUGUCUCAAGAAGAAAUGAGCGCUACGCUAUAGGGCUAUGUUUGAUUUGUGAUGAAAAGUAUAUUCCAGAUCACUAUCUCAAGCACAAGAAGUCGCAGGUGUUUAUGAUUGAAGUAGAGGAUGAGAAUGGUGAACUAGAUGCAAAGGGAGUUCAAUCUUGUGAUUAGGAAGAACGAGACAUGCCACAUGUAUCAAUUAGUGCUGUAGCAGGAAUUUCUGAUUACAACACCAUGAAGGUUAGAGGGGUGCAUUGGAGGAAAUUUCUGUUUAUUUUGUUGGAUUCAGGGUCAACCCAUAACUUUAUGGAUCCUCUCAUGGCUAAGAUGCUAGGCACUUAAGUGCAAUCUGUAGGAGUUACCAGGGUGGCAGUUGAUAAUGGCAGCAAAUUGGGAGUGCAAGGAAAGGUCUCUCAGUUUAAUUGGUCAUUUCAUGGCACACCAUUUCAGGAUGACUUCAUGUUGAUACCCUUGGGGGGCUGUGACUGGUUUUGGGGGGUUCAAUGGUAGCUCCAUUAGGCAAUAUGACUUGGAAUUUGCAGAAUUUGGAAAUGAGUUUCUGGUGGAGGAAACAGAAAGUGUUACUCCAUGGCAUCAAACAAGGGGCAGUACGAACGAUAAAGGCUUCCAAAUUUAACAAGGUUGAAGAAGAGGUGGUUCAAAUUUCCAUGAUUUAUGCUCAGGAGGAGAUUAUGUUGUGUGAUGAGGAGAUGAGCCAACGUGACGACGCCAAUAAUUCUGCUAUUUUACAGUUAUAGUAGAACUUCUAUAAAUAAGCGCUUUAUAAAUUAAUAUUCGUUAUAAAUUAAUAAAUUUUUCCAGUCCUGAAUUGGACCAGUAUAAA